CAAGAUUGAUUAAGAAACUCCAAGAUUUUUUAAGAUUCAAUCUGUCUUUCAAGAUUUCCUACAUAACAAAUUAAACAUAUUAGGAGUAAAAAGAUCAUUAUUUCACCAAGAACCAAGCAAAAUUUAUUCAUUUAUAUACUAAAAUAAGUCUAAAAACUCUAUUUUAUAGAGUUAUCAAACCUUCAAACUUGAACUUUUGCUUGUUGUCAAGCAAAAUAAAACUAAGCUAGAUUAUAAAUUAACAUGCUAAAUAUCAUAAUGAAUAUUUCCAAUAAUUAGAUUUUCAUAAAUUCCUCAAAAAUUGCAUGAUAAAUAUAAUUUAGAGAAAAUUAUAAGCAUAGAUUAAACACCAAUGCUCAUUCAAGAAUAACUACUUUCUAAUUGCAAAUUUUCCUGUAUGUAUGAAUAAUCUAUCUCAUAUCAAUGCAAAACAUUCAAUUAAAGUUAUGCAAACAUGAAAUCAACACAAAAUCUUAAAGCAUACGCAAGUUUCAUAAGUUUGCUUUUCACAUUUCUCUCCACUAAUGUUAGCUACAUUUAACCAAAGAUCAAUAAGUCUUUAUUAAGCUUGUAAUGUCAGGCUAGUAAGGUAUGGUAGAGGAAAAUUUAGGCUUAUAAACCUUAAAAUGGAUUACUUAAGAUCUUUUAUAUUAAUGAGAGAGUUUUCAAGAAUUUUGACACCCCUAAACUUAAAUCUUAGAUUCUUUUUUUUUUUUCUUUUUAAACAACAACUCCUUAUUGAUUUGCAUGUAUUCUUGUUGUUUUCAUGUUCACUUUUUUUUCUUUUUCUUUUUCUUUUUCAAAUUUCAUUUUUCUUUGUUUAAAAGCUAUUUUCAACUUUUCUUUUCUUUGUUUGAAAUGGAAUUUACACAAACCCUUCCAUCCCAAUGUAACAUAGCUUUCAUAUUUAUCUUUAAUUGAUCCAUAUGCAUCACGAGUGUUAGCCCGGAAAGUAGUUAUCUGGUGAACGAAUCCAGCCGGUUCAGUGGAGCGGUCGGUGAAAGUCAGCAAGCAAAGGAGAAGUUGAAUGAUCAGGCCACGUUGCUUACAAAGAAAUUGACUUUCUCACGAGUUAUGAUCUGGUUGGUACGAUCGCGAUCGAUCUCAUCAAAUGCGUUUUCAGCAAUCAAAAUGCCAAUCUAGCUUGUGUUUACACAUAGGGUAAGGUAUAAAGAUAAAGAUAAUACAUCAAAAGGUGGCUAAUUCAUACAGGUGAAAACAAAGAAAGGAAAUGUUUAUAUUAGGCUCAAAAGGGGUGACUGUGGAUAUAGAUAUAAAGGUUAGCUUCAAAGGCUCAAACGGUCCAAAGAUAGCUUAAAUCAUCUCCUUAAUUAAGUGUAGUCUAUGAUUUUUCCUUAAGAGAUGCUGAAACAAAUUCUAAAAUCAGAACAUAACUUUAAAGAUCAAUGCAAUCCCAUAUCUACAUAAGCCUUAACUAAAUAUGCAUACAUCUUAAUGGUCAAGACUAAAUGUUCAAGAAUGUGGAAAUAUCAUAAUCAAACAUAAACUAAUUUCAGAAAUCAUCUCAUGCUUUCAUUGCAUUCAUUAUUUUCUAAUAAGCUAUAUUCAAAGUUAAUCAAAGUUUCUACUAUUGGAUUAUGAGAAAAUAAUCAAAGGAAGCAAUACUCCAAUUCUACAAAUGACAAUUUAAGCUCAAAAUAGAAAUUUUGAAAAUUUUGCACGAAUUUUCUCUCCCCCAAAACUUGAGUGACACAUUGUCCUCAAUGUGUAAAAAUAGAAUGAUAUAGCAUAAAAGUUAAAGAGAUACUCCCCUAAUUCACCAAGUCCCAAUUUAGAAUUUGAGUAAUUCUUCAUUAUGUCCCUUACCUUACCUAGUUUCUUGUUCCUUAUUCUAAUAAAAACAAAAGCAAACAAGCUAAGCAUUACCUAUUCCUAAUAAAAAACUAAAAUAAUAAAACUAAUCCUAAGUAUUCAAAGCUAAAAAUUAAAAUUCGAGUUACCUCCUAAGUAGCGCUAGUUAUAAUCAAGCUUGACUAAUACCAAAAACUCUUCAACCAUGUAAAUUUACCACACCUUUCUUUGUAAAAGAACCCAUCCACCUAAUCAUCUUCUUUUUCCUUUCAUUCUCCCAAAUAUGGUGCUCCAAAAUAGUUGGUGUGCUUAACUCCACAAACAUGACUUCAUCCUUUUUUUUUGUAACU
Molecule: long non-coding RNA, 2162 nt
Filed under: Durio zibethinus
Lineage: Eukaryota; Viridiplantae; Streptophyta; Magnoliopsida; Malvales; Malvaceae
Description: long non-coding RNA (DZIB_LNC002239)
Source: RNAcentral